Paramuricea clavata is the source of this 480-nucleotide non-coding RNA. The record is from the annotation of a GenBank genome assembly. Lineage: Eukaryota; Metazoa; Cnidaria; Anthozoa; Malacalcyonacea; Plexauridae.
CACUCAACUAUUUUAUUUUUUCCUUCCCAUCCAAAUCCAUGUUUUGCCAACUGGGAUUCAAUACUUUGCAGACUACCUGAUGACUGGGAGGGUGUUCCACCCCCACACCCUCCUCUAGCCACUCCUGCAGCCACCCCUGCUUCACCCUAUCCUGCUCAUGUAUGGGUCAGUGGCAUUUCAACUUUCAAUUUACUUUUUGAGUAACAGGGCCUUACAGGGGUUUGACUACCUCACUGGUGUUCGUUACGGGUGAUGUCAAUAAACUUGACAUCUAGUAUCGUAAUCUCUCAAUAACACCCUACAUUUUACCCUAACCCCCACUGUUGUAAACACCUAUGAGAUAGUCAAACUGGAGGAACAGAGCACCAGGGGUCCACCUCAACACAGAGGGGUGUACACCAGAAUGGCCACAUGAAAUUAAACUAAUUUUGAUAGAAUUUACUUUAUAUAUUAAUAAUAAAACACAAGAAAAUGCAAAUG